This is a non-coding RNA of Sphaerulina musiva SO2202, 72 nucleotides long. The record is from the annotation of a RefSeq genome assembly. NCBI's taxonomy places the organism in Eukaryota, Fungi, Ascomycota, Dothideomycetes, Mycosphaerellales, Mycosphaerellaceae.
GUCGAUCUGGUCUAUCGGUUAGGGCACCCAUAUUUGGUUGGGGGAUGCUUGGUUCGACUCCAGCGGUCGACA